GAAUGAGGGAUGGUUGCAGGAUGAAACUGCUCCACCUCAGAUCAUCAGGCAUUAGAUCCCCAUAAGGAGCAGGCAACCUAGAUCCCUCGUGGGAGCAGUUAACAAUACGGUUUGCACUCCUAUGAGAAUCUAAUGCUGCCACUGAUCUGACAGGACGCAGAGCUCAGCUGUGAUGCUCACUCACCUGCCGCUCACCUGCCGCUCACCUCCUGCUGUGCAGCCCAGUUCCUAACAAGCCACGGACCACUGGUCCAUGGCCCCGGGAGUUGGGGACCCCUGCACUAAACCUUGAUGCUGAAUAUUUAGUUUGUUUAUGUUUUUGUCUUAUCACAGUAUGCUUGUUUCCUGAGCUGCGGCUUGAAUGAUACCAACUCCCCUGCCAUGUUGAGGAACUUUUCUUGCUCAGUGUGUACAUAACCAGCCAGAUCUUCCAACAAUACAACAGCAACAGCAGCUGAUCACCUCUGAUGUUUGAAUCCAAGUCACCUUGAGGGAUACAGGGCUAUAGUCACUGUUGAUAGGGUCCUGCCCUCAAAAGUACCACUAUCUAGCUGGGGAGAUAGAAUAUCUACAUUUAAAGAUAGACAACCAUGAAGGGCCACAAAUAUGAGGUAUCAUAUGG
RNAcentral lists this long non-coding RNA (622 nucleotides) under Homo sapiens (human). Its description in RNAcentral is "HSALNT0064950". Lineage: Eukaryota; Metazoa; Chordata; Mammalia; Primates; Hominidae. The record is from RNAcentral.